This is a non-coding RNA of Podarcis lilfordi (Lilford's wall lizard), 81 nucleotides long. Lineage: Eukaryota; Metazoa; Chordata; Lepidosauria; Squamata; Lacertidae. The record is from the annotation of a GenBank genome assembly.
GGCAAAUUCCUGGGAUAGCUCAGUCGGUAGGACAUGAGACUCCAAAUCUGAGGAUUGUGGGUUGGAGCCUCACAUUUGGCA